AUUCAAUACCCAUAUUGGCUGUAGGAAAAUACUAUAGAAGAAUUUAAUGAGUUUUUUAAACUAUAAAUUAAACCGUUGUUUGAUAAGUUCAUUAGAUACGUCAUUAUUAAUUUAUUGUAAUUUUUAAUUUAUCUAAAAUGUCCCACAAAUGGAAUGUUCUAAAGCGAAUUACAAAUAGUGAUAUAUGCACCUCAUGCAUAUAACUAAGGGAAGGUUUCAUGAGCUAUAAUAAAGCAAUGAAAUAAGGUUGGUGAAUUUCUUUGGAAAAAUAAAAAUAAAUCAACAGGGGGUUUGCCCUAUUUCUUAGGCACAAAUUUGUUGGAUGAGGUGGAGUAAGAAUGAGAGAGCAGUUGGUGAGCAAGUCACCAACUUUCUACUAUACAAGGAUUUCCCUGUGAGUAUUACAAAUCAAACAUAAAAAAAUUGUAUUCUGGUUUUGUACCAUCAUCGUAAUUCUUUUCAAUUUCGAAAGUUAGGAAAUUAGUAAUUAGUUGGCCGCCUAAAUUAUCCAUGCAUAGAAGCAUAAGCAUAAUAUUGGUCCGAGCCGCAAGCAAUUUAGAACCGGAAAGUGGCAGAGCUAUUUUCUUCAGGAAUUUACGCCAAGUCCAUUUUAACUUUCAACCAAAAUGUCAUGAGCAUGUGGCCCGAAACAAGUGAAAUUGAGACAUCCCUGGCAGCCUAUCUAGCCAACAGAACAUCUUUGAAUGCAACGCUAAUUCAUCUUUCAAAGAGAUACCUCCACUUCUCAUGGUAAUCCUCAUAAACCAGCUACCCCAUUUUGCUCCCCACAUGGCAAAACUUCUGGCAAGGAUCCAGGCUCUCUUACAAUAAAUCUCAUUGAAAGCUCAAAUGCCUUACUUGAGGCGACACAACGGAAAAACCCCAUGAAUGAGUGCUUGAAUUGUAGCUCCAUUUGGACUCAAUUUUUGGCCUUCAUCGUCUCUAAAACUUUAAAGUCUUCAUCAACCCUCUUUGCAUUUCAGAACCCAUCAAGUAAGAUUGUAUAAACAAAUUAGGACAAUAACCCAAACCCUUCAUCUGCUUAACCCCUCAUCCACUAAACCGAUCCUACAAACAACCAAAUACUAGGCCCUUUCCUAUAAAGGCAAUCAUCUAAAACACCCUUAACGGAUUGAUUCUUUGCAA
RNAcentral lists this unclassified non-coding RNA (1146 nucleotides) under Hevea brasiliensis (rubber tree). The record is from RNAcentral. Lineage: Eukaryota; Viridiplantae; Streptophyta; Magnoliopsida; Malpighiales; Euphorbiaceae.